GCAUAGUACCAGGUCUCUCCUGUCUGAAAGCUGGUCGGUCAUAGUUACAGCUUGUGUUAAGCUGUCGUAAAUAUCGUCUACCAUGGCAGUUGUCUCCUCUUUAAGUGUUUACUUGAUUAGCAUCUUCUUGAUUAGCAGUGGGAUGGGGGUUCCACUUGCAAGAUAUGGCUAUCCAUCAUCUAGUGACGAUGCUCUGGACCAAUACUGGUCCAACCUUGGAUACCUCAUUGAGCCAAGGGCAAACAAGAUGUCUGCUCUCGCCCAAGCUUCCUCCUCGGCCUCCAUGUCCCAACAGGGAUCCAGUGAGGCAGAUGCACCACAAGGAAAGGGAGUAUCUAAAGUUGGAGAUUGGUCUUUUACUUCAAGCGGAGGAAACCCUCGAUCUCAGGACCAGACCGGCUGGAACAUGGGAGGAAAGUCUGAGAUGGCAGCUGUUUACCAGCAGGCUGACGGGUCACCAAGUUUCAUUGUCCAGACCAGCAGUGGUUACAAACGGUCCAGACUGAGUGGCACCACAGACGAAUACUCCCUCAUCAAAGGUCUUCAUGAAUAUGGUAUUAAUCCUGAAGACUUCUAGAUGUCAAGCUCUACCAAGGAUCAGAUUUUGAAAUGUGGGCGGAAAACCUUUCCCUCGGCAACGUCCUGCAAAAAUGUCUUGCCUGUUUUCAAUAUUGUUCAACACAUAAAGUGAGAUGUAACUCA
This is a long non-coding RNA of Gadus macrocephalus (Pacific cod), 702 nucleotides long. RefSeq lists it as uncharacterized. The transcript has 4 exons. The record is from RefSeq and is a predicted model, not a curated record. Lineage: Eukaryota; Metazoa; Chordata; Actinopteri; Gadiformes; Gadidae.